RNAcentral lists this transfer RNA (77 nucleotides) under Lachnospiraceae bacterium. RNAcentral's name for it is "tRNA-Arg". It matches the Rfam family "tRNA". From Rfam's summary of the family: Transfer RNA (tRNA) molecules are approximately 80 nucleotides in length. Their secondary structure includes four short double-helical elements and three loops (D, anti-codon, and T loops). The record is from RNAcentral. Lineage: Bacteria; Bacillati; Bacillota; Clostridia; Lachnospirales; Lachnospiraceae.
CCGCCCGUAGCUCAGUUGGAUAGAGCAUCUGCCUUCUAAGCAGAGUGUCAGGGGUUCAAAUCCCUUCGGGCGGACCA